Molecule: ribosomal RNA, 1219 nt
Filed under: Metrocoris sp. XD-2019
Lineage: Eukaryota; Metazoa; Arthropoda; Insecta; Hemiptera; Gerridae
Description: 16S ribosomal RNA
Rfam family: Archaeal large subunit ribosomal RNA (bases 981-1139)
Source: RNAcentral
GUUUAAUCUUUUAAUAAAAAUAUUUUGUUUUUUAGUAUUUUUAAGAAUUAAUAUUUUAUAAUUUUUUACUGUAAAGGAAUCUUAUUUUUUAUAUAGAAAGUAUUUUUUAUUUAAAGUACCUUUUGCAUCAGGGUUUAUUAAAAUUUAUAAAUUAUUUUUUUUUCUCGAAACUUAAAGAUUUAAAAUUUAAUGAUUUUUUUUGUUUCAAAAAGAUUUUUAAUUAUAUUUUAGAGGUUAUAUGCUUUUCAUUUUAAGUGAUAUCUAGUUUUUUAAUAUUUGAAUUUAAUUCAUUUUUAAAAAAGUUAAUUUGAUAAUUUAAUUUCUUUUAAUUUUUUAAAAAAAGUUUUUUGGGGAUAAGCUCAAUUUAUUUUUUAAAAAAAAAUCAAUCUUAGAUUUUAUGUAGGAUUGGAAAUUUUCUUCUUAUUUAUUUUGUUAUAAUUAUUUUUCUUUAUGUAUGAUUUUUAUUUUUUUAAUUAUUUAUUAAAAUUUGUUUUAUAAUUUUAAAAAUUUUUAAUAAUGAUAAAAUUAGUAAUUUUGUUAAUUUUUUUAUAGUAAUUCGGCAAUUUUUAUUUUCACCUGUUUAACAAAAACAUGGUCUUUUGUUUUCAUAUAAGAUCGGACCUGCCCACUGAUUUUGAAAAUUGAAGGGCUGCGGUAUUUUAACUGUACUAAGGUAGCAUAAUCACUUGUCUUUUAAUUGGAGGCUAGAAUGAAUGGUUUGAUGAAAUAUAAUCUUUCUUUAAAAAAAUAAAUUUAAUUUAACUUUUUAGUUAAAAGGCUAAAAUUUUUUUAUAAGACGAGAAGACCCUUUAGAAGUUUACUUAUUUUAUAAGAUUGUUUUUUUUGUUAUUAAAAUUCCUUUUUAAUAAAAUGAGUUUUGUUGGGGUGAUAUUAAAAUUUUAUUAACUUUUAAUUUUUUAUUCAUUUAUUUAUGUUUUUUUGAUCCAAAAUUUUUGAUUAUAAGAUUAACUUACCUAAGGGAUAACAGCGUAAUUUUUUCGGAGAGUUCAUAUCGAUGAAUAAGUUUGCGACCUCGAUGUUGAAUUAAGAUAAGAUUUGGGUGUAAAAUUUCAUUUUCUUGGUCUGUUCGACCAUUAAUAUCUUACAUGAUUUGAGUUCAGACCGGCGUGAGCCAGGUCGGUUUCUAUCUUUAUUUUAUAUAGAUUAGUACGAAAGGACCAUUUAUAUUAAUUAAAUUAUUAUUUUUUGAUUAAGAUUA